GACGAACGCUGGCGGCGUGCUUAACACAUGCAAGUCGAACGGAAAGGCCCUGCUUUUGUGGGGUGCUCGAGUGGCGAACGGGUGAGUAGCACGUGAGUAACCUGCCCUUGACUUUGGGAUAACUUCAGGAAACUGGGGCUAAUACCGGAUAGGAGCUCCUGCUGCAUGGUGGGGGUUGGAAAGUUUCGGCGGUUGGGGAUGGACUCGCGGCUUAUCAGCUUGUUGGUGGGGUAGUGGCUUACCAAGGCUUUGACGGGUAGCCGGCCUGAGAGGGUGACCGGCCCCAUUGGGCCUGAGAUACGGCCCAGACUCCUACGGGAGGCAGCAGUGGGGAAUAUUGCACAAUGGGCGGAAGCCUGAUGCAGCAACGCCGUGUGCGGGAAGACGGCCUUCGGGUUGUAAACCGCUUUCGCCUGUGACGAAGCGUUAGUGACGGUAAUGGGUAAAGAAGCACCGGCUAACUACGUG
This 468-nucleotide ribosomal RNA is filed under the name uncultured bacterium. RNAcentral describes it as "partial 16S ribosomal RNA". It matches the Rfam family "Bacterial small subunit ribosomal RNA", at positions 28 to 507 of the family's 1533-position model. The record is from RNAcentral.